RNAcentral lists this ribosomal RNA (858 nucleotides) under uncultured bacterium. RNAcentral describes it as "bacterial SSU rRNA". It matches the Rfam family "Bacterial small subunit ribosomal RNA", at positions 21 to 894 of the family's 1533-position model. The record is from RNAcentral.
GGCUCAGGAUGAACGCUGGCGGCGUGCUUAACACAUGCAAGUCGAACGAUUAAAGCCCCUUCGGGGGUGUAUACAGCGGCGAACGGGUGAGUAACACGUGGGUAACCUGCCCCUCACUCCGGGAUAACUCCGGGAAACCGGAGCUAAUACCGGAUACUCCGGCCGGACCGCAUGGUCUGGUCGGGAAAGCCCCGACGGUGAGGGAUGGACCCGCGGCCCAUUAGCUUGUUGGUAGGGUAACGGCCUACCAAGGCGACGAUGGGUAGCCGCGCUGAGAGGCGGAUCGGCCACACUGGGACUGAGACACGGCCCAGACUCCUACGGGAGGCAGCAGUGGGGAAUUUUGCGCAAUGGGCGAAAGCCUGACGCAGCAACGCCGCGUGAGGGAUGAAGGCCUUCGGGUCGUAAACCUCUUUCAGCAGGGACGAAAAUGACGGUACCUGCAGAAGAAGCCCCGGCUAAAUACGUGCCAGCAGCCGCGGUAAUACGUAUGGGGCAAGCGUUAUCCGGAUUCAUUGGGCGUAAAGAGCGCGUAGGCGGCUUGGUAAGUCAGAUGUGAAACCUGGGGGCUCAACCCGCAGCGUGCAUCUGAAACUGCCAGGCUUGAGUCUGGUAGAGGAAAGUGGAAUUCCCAGUGUAGCGGUGAAAUGCGCAGAUAUUGGGAGGAACACCAGUGGCGAAGGCGGCUUUCUGGGCCACGACUGACGCUGAGGCGCGAAAGCUAGGGGAGCAAACAGGAUUAGAUACCCUGGUAGUCCUAGCCGUAAACGAUGGGCACUAGGUGUGGGGGGUCAUCAACUCCCUCCGUGCCGCAGCUAACGCAUUAAGUGCCCCGCCUGGGGAGUACGGCCGCAAGGU